Molecule: long non-coding RNA, 4466 nt
Filed under: Citrus x clementina
Lineage: Eukaryota; Viridiplantae; Streptophyta; Magnoliopsida; Sapindales; Rutaceae
Description: Citrus clementina (C. clementina) long non-coding RNA (CCLE_LNC000654)
Source: RNAcentral
CGGACGAAGUUGGCCACCCCACCCCCCAAGGCUAUAGCCCACCCGUUUUUGUGUGCUUUUACCGCUGGACGAACUUGGCGCCCCGGCCUUCGGGCGGUUUUUUUUGGGCGCGGCUUUGGCCGUGGCCUAUUUUUGGCACACGGAGGACCAUCGCAAAGUCUCGCGGCAUUCCGAGUCCGGCGGACGAAGGUGGCCAGCCCCAGCACCCAAGGCUAUAGCCCACCCGUUUUUGUGGCCUUUUUCCGCUGAUCGAACUUGGCGCCCCGGCCUUCGGGCGGUUAUUUUUCGGUGCGGUUUUGCCCGCGGCCUAUUUUUGGCACACGGAGGCCCCUCAAAAAGUCUCGCGGCAUUCCAAGCCCGGCGGACGAAGUGGGCCAGCCCCACCCCCUAAGGCUAUAGCCCACCCGUUUUUGUGGCCUUUUUCCGCUGGACGAACUUGGCGCCCCGGCCUUCGGGCGGUUAUUUUUGGGCGCGGCUUUGGCCGCGGCCUAUUUUUGGCACACGGAGGCGCUUCGCAAAGUCUCGCGGCAUUCCGAGUCCGGCGGACGAAGUUGGCCAGCCCCACCCCCCAAGGCUAUAGCCCGCCCGUUUUUGUGGCCUUUUUUCGCUGGACGAACUUGGCGCCCCGGCCUUCGGGCCGUUAUUUUUGGGCGCGGCUUUGCCCGUGGCCUAUUUUUGGCACACGGAGACCCCUCGCAAGGUCUCGCGGCAUUCCGAGUCCGGCGGACGAAGUUGGCACGCCCCACCCCCCAAGGCUAUAGCCCACCCGUUUUUGUGGCCUUUUUCCGCUGGAAGAACUUGGCGCCCCGGCCUUCGGGCCGUUAUUUUUGGGCGCGGCUUUGCCCGCGGCCUAUUUUUGGCACACGGAGGCCCCUCGCAAAGUCUCACGGCAUUCCGAGCCCGGCGGACGAAGUUGGCCAGCCCCACCCCCCAAGGCUAUAGCCCACCCGUUUUUGUGGCCUUUUUCCGUUGGACGAACUUGGCGCCCCGGCCUUCGUGGGGUUAUUUUUGUGCCCGGCUUUGCCCGCGGCCUAUUUUUGGCACACGGAGGCCCCUCGCAAAGUCUCCCGGCAUUCCGAGUCCGGCGGACAAAGUUGGCCAGCCCCACCCCCCAAGGCUAUAGCCCACCCGUUUUUGUGGCCUUUUUCCGCUGGACGAACUUGGCGCCCCGGCCUUCGGGCGGUUAUAUUUGGGCGCAGCUUUGCCCGUGGCCUAUUUUUGGCAAACGGAGGCCCCUCGCAAGGUCUCGUGGCAUUCCGAGUCCGGCGGACGAAGUUGGCAAGCCCCACCUCCCCAGGCUAUAGCCCACCCGUUUUUGUGGCCUUUUUCCGUUAGACGAACUUGGCGCCCCGGCCUUCGGGCGGUUAUUUUUGUGCGCGUCUUUGCCCGCGGCCUAUUUUUGGCACACGGAGGUGCAUCAGAAAGUCUCGCGGCAUUCUGAGUCAGGCGGACGAAGUUGGCCAGCCCCACCCCCCAAGGCUAUAGCCCACCCGUUUUCGUGGCCUUUUUCCGCAGGACGAACUUGGCGCCCCGGCCUUCGGGCAGUUAUUUUUUGGCGCGGCUUUGACCGCAGCCUAUUUUUGGCAAACGGAGGACCAUCGCAAAGUCUCGCGGUAUUCCGAGUCCGGCGGACGAAGUUGGCCAGCCCCACCCGCCAAGGGUAUAGCCAACCCGUUUUAGUGGCCUUUUUCCGCUGGACGAACUUGGCGCCCCGGCCUUCGGGCGGUUAUAUUUGGGCACGGCUUUGCCCGCGGCCUAUUUUUGGCAAACGGAGGCCCCUCGCAAGGUCUCACGGCAUUCCGAGUCCGGCGGACGAAGUUGGCAAGCCCCACCCCCCAAGGCUAUAGCCCACCCGUUUUUGUGGCCUUUUUCCGCUGCACGAACUUGGCGCCCCGGCCUUCGUGGGGUUAUUUUUGUGCCCGGCUUUGCCCGCGGCCUAUUUUUGGCACACGGAGGCCCCUCGCAAAGUCUCCCGGCAUUCCGAGUCCGGCGGACAAAGUUGGCCAGCCCCACCCCCCAAGGCUAUAGCCCACCCGUUUUUGUGGCCUUUUUCCGCUGGACGAUCUUGGCGACCCGGCCUUCGGGCGGUUAUAUUUGGGUGCAGCUUUGCCCGCGGCCUAUUUUUGGCAAACGGAGGCCCCUCGUAAGGUCUCGUGGCAUUCCGAGUCCGGCGGACGAAGUUGGCAAGCCCCACCCCCCAAGGCUAUAGCCCACCCGUUUUUGUGGCCUUUUUCCGUUGGACGAACUUGGCGCCCCGGCCUUCGGGCAGUUAUUUUUGUGCGCGGCUUUGCCCGCGGCCUAUUUUUGGCACACGGAGGCCCCUCGUAAAGUCUCGCGGCAUUCCGAGCCCGGCGGACGAAGUUGGCCACCCCACCCCCCAAGGCUAUAGCCCACCCGUUUUUGUGUCCUUUUACCGCUGGACGAACUUGGCGCCCCGGCCUUCGGGCGGUUUUUUUUGGGCGCGGCUUUGGCUGUGGCCUAUUUUUGGCACGCGGAGGACCAUCGCAAAGUCUCGCGGCAUUCCGAGUCCGGCGGACGAAGGUGGCCAGCCCCAGCACCCAAGGCUAUAGCCCACCCGUUUUUGUGGCCUUUUUCCGCUGAUCGAACUUGGCGCCCCGGCCCUCGGACGGUUAUUUUUCGGUGUGGUUUUGCCCGCGGCCUAUUUUUGGCACACGGAGGCCCCUCAAAAAGUCUCGCGGCAUUCCGAGCCCGGCGGACGAAGUUGGCCAGCCCCACCCCCCAAGGCUAUAGCCCACCCGUUUUUGUGGCCUUUUUCCGCUGGACGAACUUGGCGCCCCGGCCUUCGGUCGGUUAUUUUUGGUCGCGGCUUUGUCCGCGCCCUAGUUUUGGCACACGGAGGCCCCUCACAAUGUCUCGCGGCAUUCCGAGUCCGGCGGACGAAGUGGGCCAGCCCCAACCCCCAAGGCUAUAGCCCACCCGUUUUUGUGGCCUUUUUCCGCUGGAAGAACUUGGCGGCCCGGCCUUCGGGCGGUUAUUUUUAGGCACGGCUUAGCCCGCGGCCUAUUUUUGGCACAUGGAGGCCCCUCACAAAAUCUCGCUGCAGUCCGAGUCCGGCGGACGAAGUCAGCCAGCCCCACCCCCCAAGGCUAUAGCCCACCCGUUUUUGUGGCCAUUUUCCGCUGGACAAACUUGUAGCGCGGCCUUUGGGCGGUUAUUUUUGGGCGUGGCUUUGCCCGCGGCCUAUUUUUGGCACACGGAGGCCCCUCGAAAGUGUCGCGGCAUUCCGAGUCUGCCGGACGAAGUGGGCCAGCCCCAACCCCCAAGGCUAUAGCCCACCCGUUUUUGUGGCCUUUUUCCGCUGGACGAACUUGGCGCCCCGGCCUUCGGGCGGUUAUUUUUGGGCGCGGCUUUGCCCGCAGCCUAUUUUUGGCAAACGGAGGCCCCUCGCAAGGUCUCGCGGCAUUCCGAGUCCGGCGGACGAAGUUGGCAAGCCCCACCCCCCAAGGCUAUAGCCCACCCGUUUUUGUGGCCUUUUUCCGUUGGACGAACUUGGCGCCCCGGCCUUCGUGGGGUUAUUUUUGUGCACGGCUUUGCCCGCGGCCUAUUUUUGGCACACGGAGGCCCCUCGCAAAGUCUCCCGGCAUUCCGAGUCCGGCGGACAAAGUUGGCCAGCCCCACCCCCCAAGGCUAUAGCCCACCCGUUUUUGUGGCCUUUUUCCGCUGGACGAACUUGGCGCCCCGGCCUUCGGGCGGUUAUAUUUGGGCGCAGCUUUGCCCGUGGCCUAUUUUUGGCAAACGGAGGCCCCUCGCAACGUCUCGUGGCAUUCCGAGUCCGGCGGACGAAGUUGGCAAGCCCCACCCCCCAAGGCUAUAGCCCACCCGUUUUUGUGGCCUUUUUCCGUUGGACGAACUUGGCGCCCCGGCCUUCGGGCAGUUAUUUUUGUGCGCGUCUUUGCCCGCGGCCUAUUUUUGGCACACGGAGGUGCAUCGGAAAGUCUCGCGGCUUUCUGAGUCAGGCGGACGAAGUUGGCCAGCCCCACCCCCCAAGGCUAUAGCCCACCCGUUUUCGUGGCCUUUUUCCGCAGGACGAACUUGGCGCCCCGGCCUUCGGGCAGUUAUUUUUUGGCGCGGCUUUGACCGCAGCCUAUUUUUGGCAAACGGAGGCCCAUCGCAAAGUCUCGCGGUAUUCCCAUGCCGGCGGACGAAGUUGGCCAGCCCCACCCGCCAAGGGUAUAGCCAACCCGUUUUAGUGGCCUUUUUCCGCUGGACGAACUUGGCGCCCCGGCCUUCGGGCGGUUAUAUUUGGGCACGGCUUUGUCCGCGGCCUAUUUUGGCAAACGGAGGCCCCUCGCAAGGUCUCACGGCAUUCCGAGUCCGGCGGACGAAGUUGGCAAGCCCCACCCCCCAAGGCUAUAGCCCACCCGUUUUUGUGGCCUUUUUCCGUUGGACGAACUUGGCGCCCCGGCCUUCGGGCAGUUAUUUUUGUGCGCGGUUUUGCCCGCUGC